This 274-nucleotide ribosomal RNA is filed under the name uncultured bacterium. RNAcentral's name for it is "partial 16S ribosomal RNA". It matches the Rfam family "Bacterial small subunit ribosomal RNA", at positions 523 to 796 of the family's 1533-position model. The record is from RNAcentral.
CUACGGAGGGGGUUAGCGUUGUUCGGAAUUACUGGGCGUAAAGCGCACGUAGGCGGACUGGAAAGUUGGGGGUGAAAUCCCGGGGCUCAACCCCGGAACUGCCUCCAAAACUUCCAAUCUAGAGAUCGAGAGAGGUAAGUGGAAUUCCUAGUGUAGAGGUGAAAUUCGUAGAUAUUAGGAGGAACACCAGUGGCGAAGGCGGCUUACCGGCUCGAUACUGACGCUGAGGUGCGAAAGCGUGGGGAGCAAACAGGAUUAGAUACCCUAGUAGUCC